RNAcentral lists this ribosomal RNA (639 nucleotides) under Curtobacterium sp. RNAcentral's name for it is "bacterial SSU rRNA". It matches the Rfam family "Bacterial small subunit ribosomal RNA", at positions 774 to 1411 of the family's 1533-position model. Lineage: Bacteria; Bacillati; Actinomycetota; Actinomycetes; Micrococcales; Microbacteriaceae. The record is from RNAcentral.
AGGAUUAGAUACCCUGGUAGUCCACGCCGUAAACGUUGGGCGCUAGAUGUAGGGACCUUUCCACGGUUUCUGUGUCGUAGCUAACGCAUUAAGCGCCCCGCCUGGGGAGUACGGCCGCAAGGCUAAAACUCAAAGGAAUUGACGGGGGCCCGCACAAGCGGCGGAGCAUGCGGAUUAAUUCGAUGCAACGCGAAGAACCUUACCAAGGCUUGACAUACACCGGAAACGGCCAGAGAUGGUCGCCCCCUUGUGGUCGGUGUACAGGUGGUGCAUGGUUGUCGUCAGCUCGUGUCGUGAGAUGUUGGGUUAAGUCCCGCAACGAGCGCAACCCUCGUUCUAUGUUGCCAGCGCGUUAUGGCGGGGACUCAUAGGAGACUGCCGGGGUCAACUCGGAGGAAGGUGGGGAUGACGUCAAAUCAUCAUGCCCCUUAUGUCUUGGGCUUCACGCAUGCUACAAUGGCCGGUACAAAGGGCUGCGAUACCGUAAGGUGGAGCGAAUCCCAAAAAGCCGGUCUCAGUUCGGAUUGAGGUCUGCAACUCGACCUCAUGAAGUCGGAGUCGCUAGUAAUCGCAGAUCAGCAACGCUGCGGUGAAUACGUUCCCGGGCCUUGUACACACCGCCCGUCAAGUCAUGAAAGU